Molecule: non-coding RNA, 549 nt
Organism: Parasteatoda tepidariorum (common house spider)
Lineage: Eukaryota; Metazoa; Arthropoda; Arachnida; Araneae; Theridiidae
Source: RefSeq, a predicted model, not a curated record
GAUAUUAUUAGAAGUUAGAAUGGACUUCAACUAUUAUCUAAUAUUGUUAGAUAGUAGUUGAAGUCCUAAGUUUUAACCAAUCAAUAUCACACGUUAAUGAUUGGUCAAAACUUAGUAAUCCUCAAAAUACAACGCAUGGUGAUCGAAUCAUCAUUUUCGUGAAAAAUGGACAAAAACAGUUCUUCCUCCUUUUUCGUCAGUUGAAUAACAUAAGCAUGUAAUAAGUUGAAUUUAAAAUGCAUUAAAUGACAUAUUGCUUUUAUACAAAUACUUCUAAGUGACAUUUGCAGUAUAUAUUUUAUGAUACCAUGAAUAUAUUUUUAAAACUUUUUUAAAGGGGUCACUUGCGUUUACUAAAUCAGAUGUUACAAUAUCCUAUUUGCCUUUAGCACAUUGUUUCGAGCAAACUGUUGAAGCUGUAAUGUUUAUGGUAGGUGGAAGCAUAGGUUUCUAUUCUGGCGAUGUUAAUUCACUUUCAGACGAUAUGAAAGUUUUAAAACCCACUUUUUGGCCAGCAGUACCUAGAAUGAUGAACAAGCUCUAUGAUAU